CUGCCCAUAGCUCAACUGGAUAGAGCAGCGGCCUUCUAAGCCGCAGGUUCCGGGUUCGAUUCCUGGUGGGCAGGCCA
Molecule: transfer RNA, 77 nt
Filed under: Rubrivivax sp.
Lineage: Bacteria; Pseudomonadati; Pseudomonadota; Betaproteobacteria; Burkholderiales; Sphaerotilaceae
Also listed under: 3 other names
Description: tRNA-Arg
Rfam family: tRNA
About the family: Transfer RNA (tRNA) molecules are approximately 80 nucleotides in length.
Source: RNAcentral